UCACCAAUAUGGCUGCAUCCACGGACAGAGAGGAUGACAGAUUUUAUUAUGCGACUAGGGUUACAGAUUACACAUCUCAUGUAUUUAUAGUAUUUAUAGAUCUCAGUGAGAUCCCCGGACAGAGAGGAUGACAGAUUUUAUUAUGCGACUAGGGUUACAGAUUACAGAUCUCAAGUAUUUAUAGUAUUUAUAGAUCUCAGCGAGAGCCCCGUAGUUCGAAGCGGGAGAUUCAAGACAUAACAACACGAACAAACAACAAUAUUUCAUAAACUCUAAAGUUGAAAUCGAGCACAAACACACUAAAGUAGCCAUUAAAAAGGAGAUAAGAAAAAGAAAACACGAUUCUUCUUCGAGCACAAUCCUUCAAUUAAGUUCUCCUGCGUGUUGGUGUUGGUGUUGGUGUAGCUCUGCUGCGUCUCUUCUUCUUCUUCUUCUUAUUAUUAUAUCCAAUGCCGAAAAAGAAUUCCACUAACCAUCUUGGCCUUCCAUUUCUAAUAAUGAUGUAACCAAUACCAAUCCCAACUAUGAAUCCACUUCCAUAUCCCAUCACCACACUUCUCCAUCCAAAUCCAUCUAUAAAUCCAUACUCAUCAUCUUCGCCAUCUUCUUCUUCUGGCUGCAUCCGAUGUCCAUUCUCCUUGUUGCAUUUUCUCGUCAACGGAACUCCACACAGUCCCAAGUUUCCUACGUAUGAAUCAUUGUCGAAUGUGGAAAACUGCUUAGACUGUGGUAUUUGCCCCACAAGAUUAUUCGUUGAAAGGUUUAAUUUCGCAAGAAAUGUCAACCUUGUCAAUUCACUCGGAAUUUCUCCAUCCAACUUGUUCACUGACAAGUCCAAAGAUUCAAGUUCACUCAUAUUUGCAAGAGAUGAAGGUAUAUUUCCAAUGAGGUUAUUGUGGGAUAAAUUCAAGUAUUUGAGAAUCUUAAGAUUUCCUAUGGAAUCUGGAAUACUCCCAGAAAACCUAUUGGAGGAUAAGUCAAUUGCUGUAAAGGCUGACAACAAUCUUUCUAAUAAUUGAUCCAGCCCUUUCAAGGUGAGCCUCAUCUCCACAUAAAAAUGGAAGGUGUCGUCAUUUGACAAGUUUGUUUCAUUUACCUCUAUCAUUGAUAUGAAAUUCUUGAAAUAUCUUUGAGGCAGAGAACCCACAAAUCUAUUCUGAGAUAUAUCUAAAACUUGCAAAUUAUGAAAUGGAAUAUUGGUCUUUGAAGGAAGUGACAUGUUACCAUAAAACUUGUUAGACCUCAAGAUCAACACUCGAAGGUCUGGAAGGACUUCCAUCCAGAAGGGAAAUUCGUCUUGUAUUCUAUUAUUUCCAACGUCGAGGCCUCGUAGACUUCCGCAAUUGAUCAAGGAUUUAGGUAAUGGUCCUUGCAAUUUGUUGCCAUUCAAAUUGAUGGAUUCAAGACUACACCCCUUGCUAAAUGUUGCUGGAAUGAGACCACGAAACUGAUUUUUAUUUAAAUGAAAGAUGACCAGAGAGCUCAAGUUUCCAAAGCAUUGUGGAAUUGUUCCUUCCAAAGUGUUGUUUGAGAGAAGAAGAGCACGAAGAGUUGUCAAGUUACAGAUGGAGGAUGGAAGCUCACCGAUUAAUUUGUUGGAAGAGAGUUGUAGACCAAUCAAUGAUAGAAUAUUCCCAAUGGUAGAUGGUAUUUGACCUGAAAGUUAGUACGAGACCUUCAAAUUUAUUACUUGAAAGACAGAAAGAGCGUACGUUGUACGCAUAAUUAAUGUUAUUUUAUUUGAUAAAAUAAAAAUAUAAAUAUAAUAUUUAUUAUAUUUAAUUUUUCAAUUAACAAUUUGGUCUAUUUAGUCAUACAAUAAUUUUUUUUAGAAAAUCUAUUAGUUUAUUACUUCUACUAAAUACUCCCUCCGUCCCACUAUAAGUGGCUCAAAACUUUUGGACACGUGAAUUAAGGAGAAUAAUUUAUUUGAUAGAUAUAUUUAUUUAUAAGCCUUAUCAACAACUAUAGAUAUAUAUCACAUAGUUUUAGUAUAAUAUCUGAUGAAUUAAUAUAUUUUUAUAAAUAUACAAUAUGUAAAAUAACUUUAAAAUAAAACAUAUAAUAAGUGUAAAAUAGAGACAAUCCACACGUUGUGUGUUGUGUCCAAAGCUCUUUUUAUAUUAGUAUAGAUGUAUUGCAUUCUUUUUAAACAUAGUAUAAUUAAAGAAGAUCAAAUGAAAUAAGAGAAAAAUAAAUUAACUCGUAAGCUAGCUUGAGGAGCUAAACUUGUGGCUAGGUGAAUAAUAAAUCAUACCACUUAAUCUAUUAUAGUCGAGGUAUAAGUUCAUAAGAGCUGUCAUGUUCCCCACUUCUCUCGGGAUUGAUCCGCUAAGUUUGUUGGAACCCAAGUGCAUGAUCUGUAAACUAUGAAGAUUUCCAAUCUCUUUCGGCAUAGUACCUGGAGAAUAAUCCCACAAGACAAUGUAUGACCCCUACCAACUUCAAGACAACAUACCACUUAAUUAAAGAAGAUCAAAUGAAAUAAGAGAAAAAGAAUUAACUCGCAAGCUAGCUUGAGGAGCUAAACUUGUGGCUAGGUGAUAAUAAAUUAUACCACUUAAACUAUUAUUGCUGAGGUAUAAGCUGAUAAGAGCUGUCAUGUUCCCCACUUCUCUCGGGAUUGAUCCGCUAAGUUCGUUGGAAUCCAACCACAUGUCCUGCAAAUUAUGAAGAUUUCCAAUCUCUUUCGGAAUAGUACCUGGAGAAUAAUGAAGUCAUCAAAGUCAAGUUCCAUAUUGUUAAGUAUAACGAUCAUAACAAUAAUAAGUAAAAACAUGUGAUUUGAUCGGAUGUGAGAUUGAGCUGUAUACUAUUUAAGUAUAAUGAUAUUUAUUCCACUAAUCAAUGGAAGACUGAACAAUAUAGAUUUGAGAAGAACAUAGCUGUAAAAUGCUAUAUGGAAAAGUCAAAUAUACAUGAAAAUUAAGAAACAUUUGAAUAUGUGUAAAACUCUAAGAAAGUUAGAAAUCUUACCGGUUAAAGCAUUUUUUUGAAGGUAUAAAAACUCUAGUACUGCUUUCAUGUUCCAAAUUUCUGAAGGCAAUACCCCAUUGAGUGUGUUACUUGAUAAGUCAAUCAAUGUCAAGGAAAACAUGUUGAAAAUGGUUGGUGGCAAAGUGCCUGACAACUUGUUCCAACUCAGGUCCAACACUGCUAAAUUAUGAAGAUGAUGAAUCUCUUCUGGAAUAACUCCUUCACAUAUCCAAAUAAUCACAAAAGGUUAGUCUAGCUAAUUCUAGAUUGAAACGUAUAGGGAAAAUAUUACUUUAUCACCCGAUAUAAAGUUUAAAUUUGACCCUCAAACGCAAAGCACAUAAAUCAAAAAAUUAAAUAAUAUGGCAUUAAAUGCAUGAUUUGACCUCAUAUAUAUAGGAAUCAACUUACCAGUCAACUUAUUUUGUCACACCCCAAUUCUUGAAACAAUAACUAUAACUGGGGUACGACUAAUCAUUAAAAUGAACAAGGGAAAAACCUUGUGAAAUCCGAAUUGAAGGGAUAACAAUCGGGCAUCGCCCCUUUAGAUGAAGAAAGACAGGUAUCCAAUUGAUACAAAUCAAUCAACAAACAUGACAAACGUCAGGAUCACAAGUUUAGUUUCAUGCUUCAGAUAACCAACAUUCCUUAAUCAAAAUACUUGAGAGUCAAAAGUCUAGGCUCAACAAAAGAUAUCGUUUCGAGUCAUAUCAUAAAGGUCUUAAGUCAGGAGAACGAAAGACAGAUAAAGGCUAGUACUACAACGGAAGUCAAAACACGGAGUUGAACCCUAGCCUCAGCUCUCCCCGUCAACGCCAUCCAUCAACCUGAAAAACAUUUGAAAAUAUUUGGGCUAAGUACUAAUGUACUUAGUGGGCUGCAACUUUUAAAACAUUUCACAAUUCGUAAGAGCAGUUUAUCCAAUUAUUCAUAACAUAACUUAGAAGGUUUUAAAGUAAAGGAACUUCUAAGCAUGUUAAAAUAUUUCAUUUUAUUAGCGCGCUGUUGUCACACUUUGUUCUGUUACUCGCUGUGAUCCCGGACCUUUUAGCCACCGACGGAUCCCUCAUUCCCAUGAUACUUGCCCUGAGGACGUAACUCAGACAAGUUGAAUUGACCUCGGGACGCUACCCAGGCAGGCCUUACAUGAUACAUGCUCCGAAACACAUCCAGCCGAGCACCCUUAUAACGCCUCUUGCAUAAAUUAGUGCCCGAUGAAGAUCAACCCACCGAAAUAACUAACAAGUGUACACAAUUCUCAAAUAACGUGUUAGGCCAUAAGAGAACCUCGAUCGAUCCAUGAAUUGCGAGCCUUAAACAUAACAGAGUGCACAAAAAACAUUUAUUGGAUAAACAGUUUUCAUUUCAUGAAAUAUUUAGAGCUUAAUAACUUAAUCAUACAUUUGGAAAGUAAGCCCACCUGAUUAUAGCUCUAGUUGUGGUGCAGUAGCUCUCGUCUAGGUAUUACUCUCGCGCUUGACCUUUAUUGCGAGAAUUUAAAAUAAGAUAUUUGCUCGAAGAGAAUCCUCGAUAAAUGAGAAUGCGAAAAUAAAUAUGCAUGACUCUCUUAUGCAAGAUUCAUUAUUCUAGAUGAUAAUGGGGAAAAUUCUACUAUAAAUCCCAACUAUCGAAUUGAUUAAGUAAGAUAACUAACUGAAGCUCGUCUCGUACGAUCGGAUAAAUAACUAUGAUUAAUCAGUUCAUCUUAGGGUGUUCUAACUUACAUGAGGAUUAAAAGAUCUCGCUCUAUUUAAUCAAUUGAAAGAAAAUAGCGAAGUCGGCUCAUUCGCUUAGUAAUACCUUGAGUGUUUUGCUUUGUUGGCUGUCUGGUGUUGUUGGAUUAAAUGAAUUGAAAAAUUUGAAAUAUUCAAGGUUGUUGUUCCUCUUAAUCAAUGCAGGAGUAGAUGUGGAAGGAGUUGGAUGAAUUAAAGCUAAGUCUUACCUUGAAGUUGACAGAGCAAUGGGUAGGAGUUCUCCUGCUCUUCAGUGAUCUGAUUUCUUUAGUGAAGAAUGAAGAGGUGAAGAGAUCGCUUGGCAGAUAUUGAGAGAGGGUGUUGGCUGCACUCUUGAGUGUGCUAGGGAGGUGGUAGGAGGAGUAGGGAGAAGGGGAUUGGGAGGUUGGGUGUGCUAAGGAAUAGGUGGUAGGGUGUAGGGAAAAGGGGAUUGGUGGAGUUCGGCGGCUGGCAGUUGUGCUGUUACAGCUACACGCACCCCCCCCCCCCCCCCCUUCCCUUUUUUUCUCCUUUGCUUCCUUGUUGGUUGAUGGUCUUAAACAAAAGAAUGGUGUUGCAUUUGAUGUGUAGUAAUGUGGGAUAUGGCUAAAGUAAAACUCUUGUCUUUUGGGAAUUCUAAACUUGUAGUAUAGUAACGGGCUUAAUGAAAUACUAGUCUUGGAUUCUCACUAAUGUAGCGUGUAUAUAUAUAUAUAUAUACUCGCACGAUAUCUGAUUUCUUGCUUGCUAGCCUCGAUGGACUGUAAAAUAAAUUUAAAUUAAAUCCGUAGAUUUAAUCUGUUUGCUCAUCUUAUAUCUAAAUUAAAUCCGAAGAUUUAAUUCUCCUCACAAGCUGGAAUAAAUUCACGACUUAAGCAAGUGCAAAAAUAAUAACAAGUAAUAAUAUAAAUAAUAUUUCUAUGGCACUUAAUAAAUAACAUGACUUCGCUAAGUCAGUUAUAAUUCUGAAAUAAUAAAAAUAAUAACGAUUGACUGGCUCAAUAAUCCAUCUCGCGAUUUCUCACGUGAAAUAAAAUAGUAACUCUGCUUCAAGUACUAUAUAACUCAUAGUCAUAAGUCGAAAUUAAUCAAAGAUCAACACUGAAAGAUGCAAUAAUUAAUUAUUGCAUUACUGGUUUUAAUAAAUUAAAAGAGCGGGUUAUUACAUAUUUGCACUAAGGUCCAACGUUUGAGAAGAAGUUAAAGGUCCGUUUUGAAGUUCUAAAAUAGAUAGCGGUUAAUAUUAUAAAUUAAUAUUAUUGAAAUAUUACAAUUAUGAAUACUAUUUUAACUUUUUACAAUAUGAACUUAUUGUUGAAUCAUAUUCACCUUGAUCAUCAUUAGGAUCUCCUGUAAUAUCAACCAAAAUGACUUAGAUCCAUUUAUUUAAUUUAAAUAUUCUCUCUUUGUUCUUACUCAUUAUAACUUGAUUUAAUUGUAAUUCCUAAUAAAAUUAAGAAAAUACUUUAUAAACUAUAAAGUUGUUAAUUUAUCGAUAUAUUAAUAAUUUAUUAAAUGAAAUAAGAGAAAAAGAAAUAACUCGCAAGCUAGCUUGCGGAGCUAAACUUGUGGCUAGGUGAAUAAUAAUUCAUACCACUUAAUAAUUGGAAGACAAAGAACAAUAUAUAGAUUUGAGAAGAAAAUCUCUUGUGGAAUAACUCCUACAAAUAUAUAUCCAAUUCACACAAUAUAAUAUCUUUUACCUGAAUAAAUCACACAAAACGUUGCUAGAGCAAAAGUAGGACAAAAAGGGAUAAACUUGUGGUUAGCUAAAUAAUAAAUCAUACCACUUAAAGUAUUAUCGUAGAGGUAUAAUCCGACAAGAGCUGUAAUGUUCCCCACUUCUCUUGGGAUUGAUCCACUAAAUUUGUUAGAAUACAUCCACAAUGCCUCUAAAUUAUUAAGAUGGCCAAUCUCUUUCGGAAUAGUACCUGGAGGAAAAGUUAAAUAAAUGUUAAAAAUGUGUGAGCGACAAAGAGUUCUAAUAUUCCAAAUUUGUGUGUGCAAAGCUCCACUAAGUUUGUGGGAAUCCCAAAAAAAAGAAAUUAACUCGCAAGCUAGCCUGCGGAGCUAAACUUGUGGCUAGGUGAUAAUAAAUCAUACCACUUAAACUAUUAAUCUCGAGGUGUAAGAUGCCCAGAGCUGUCAUGUUCCCCACUUCUCUCGGAAUUGAUCCGCUAAGUUCAUUGGAAUGCAACCACAUGUACUGCAAAUUAUGAAGAUUUCCGAUGUCUUUCGGAAUAGUACCUGGAGAACAAUGAAGUCAUCAAAGUCAAGUUCCAUAUUGUUAACUAUAAUGAUCAUAACAAUAAUAAAUAAAAUACGCGAUUCUAUCGGUUGGGAGAUUGAGGUGUAUACUAUUUUAAGUAUAAUGAUAUUUAUUCCACUAAUCAACGGAAGACAAAGAUCAAUAUAGUUUUGAGAAGAACAUAGCUGUAAAUGUUGUAUGGAAAAGUCAGAUAUAGAUUUGAUGAGAAGAAUUUAAAGCUCUCACAAUGGCUGCACAUGCUAAAUAUACAUGAAAAUUAAGAAAUAUUUGAAUAUGUGUAAAACUCCACAUGAGUUAGAAAUCUUACCGGUUAAAGCAUUGUUUUGAAGGUAUAAAUGCUGUAGUGCUUUCAUGUUCCCAAUUUCUGAAGGCAAAGUGCCUGACAACUUGUUCAAACUCAAGUCCAACUCUCGUAAAUUAUCAAGAUGAUGAAUCUCUUGUGGAAUAACUCCUUCACAUAUCCAAAUAAUCACAAAAAGUUAGUCUAGCUAAUUCUAGAUUGAAACGUAUAGGGAAAAUAAUACUUUAUCACUCGAUAUAAAAUUUAAAUUUGACCCUCAAAUGCAAAGCACAUAAAUCAAAAAAUUAAAUAAUAUGGCAUUAAAUGCAUGAUUUGACCUCAUAUAUAUAGGAAUCAACUUACCAGUCAACUGAUUUUCACCAAGGUUCAACACUUUAUGAAGCUUGGUCAAGUUCCCAAUUUCUCUUGGCACAAAUCCACUGAAAUUGUUGUGGUACAAAGAAAGAUACUCAAGCUGUGAACACUGCCCCAAACUCGAUGGUAUUUUCCCAUACAACUCAUUGAAAGAUAUACUAAGCCUCUUGAGUCUAUGCAGAUUGUGUAUGCACAUAUCAAGAGGUAAACUACUAGACAAACUAUUACUCCUUAGUUCCAAAACUUCUAGAAAUGACAUGUUGAAGAUAGAUGGGGGAAUGGGGCCAUGAAAAGAGUUACGAUUCGCAUAAAAAGAGACAAGGAAAGAAAGAUUUCCAAUUUCUGGCGGGAGGGUUCCGACAAGACCCAUGUACGAUAUAUUCAACUGAGUAACCCUAUUGUAAUGUGAAUCACAAGUAACUCCGAUCCAACUACAAACACUGGCUUCAGUGCUCCAAUUUUGGGUCAAUAUAUUUUGAGGAUCUAAAGUGAUUUGAGAUUUCAAGGCAAGAAGUGAAGAACGAUCGGUGUUGAUAUCGUGUUUGGCUGAGCUAGAAUCCAUCAAAUAAUGGAUUGGUAAGAGUAGUGCAAGGAUGAGAAAAUGGGGAGAUUUUUGCAUUUUUUGGCUUGAUUUUGACAGUAGUAAUUUUUUAGAAUAUUGAACUAUGAAAUCUAUAGACGUGUAUAUAUAGAGUGUGUGUGGAUAUGAUGGGCAAAUGGGAAGGAUUAAUGAUGAAAGUAGGAAAUGCAGAGUUUCCUUUUAUCAAAGCUAAAAUAAUAUUUUCCCAUUGGAAAAGACGAAGAAAAUAAUUGUGGAACUAUAAAGAGUGAUUUUUGGAGGCAAAAGCAACUAAGACUAACCCAAAUCUUAAAAAAUGACCCUAAUAUUCAUAUUAAAAUAGCAUUAUAAGUUUUGGUCGUGAUCAGAGGGCUACGUCAGUUGAAUAAACAACAAAACAUGUUUGUUUAUUUGAAGUGGUAGAAUAACAUUCAAAAGUAGAAGAUAUUCUCUAUUUUUAUAAUAGAUUUGGGAGACUUUAAAUCCCCCUUUUUUUGAUCUUUGAAUAAGAUAUAAUAAAGGGUAAUUCACACUUCGCAAUCUAAAACCAAGCUCUACGCAAUUGCCCCCUUAAAAUAGAGCAAUUGUUGCAAUUUGAAUUCGAGUUAUUUUGAAUAAUAAUAAUAAUAAUAAUAAGCUCUUGGUAACGACGAAAUUUAUUCAAAUUCAAACUAUUAUUCCAUAGAUCCAAAACCUCUAGUGACGACAUGUUGAAGAUAGAUGGGGGAAUGGGGCCAUGAAAGUAGUUCCCGUUCGCUACUAAAGAAACGAGAGAAGAAAGAUUCCCAAUUUCUGGUGGGAGGGUUCCGACAAGACCCAUGUCCGAUAUAUUCAACUGAGUCACCCUAUUGUAAUGUGAAUCACAAGUAACUCCGAUCCAACUACAAACACUGGCUUUAGUGCUCCAAUUUCCAAGUCAUUAAAAGUAAAGUUAACUUUAUAUUUAACUUUACCAAUAAUGAACUUUGACUCAGGCAAAAGACCAAAUAUGUAUCACAAAUAUUUCUCAAGUGGAAUGCUGCCUCACAAGUACAUCUUAAAAGAAAAAAAGUUAACCUUUAACAAAUAUUUAAACAACAAUAAUUAUAAAAUUAAAACAAUUCAAGCAAAAAAAAUUUAUAAAUUUCAAUUUAAAGAUAAAGAAAAAUUGAAUCUUGAUUUUUAUAUAUCCACUAUAAAAACCUAACAAAUCCAAAAAAAAAAAAUCAACCUUACAAUAAAAAAUAAAUAUAUCAACUAAAAUAAAAUAACAUAAUAUAAUUUUAUUAUAAUUAUCAUUAAAUAAUACUCCACUACUAAUAAAAAAUAAAGGGUUUUUGUUAAAAUGUAGGCUUGUGUUUAGGUUUCCAAUAUUGGUAGAUGGUAUUGGACCUGAGUAACAUAAAAUAUUAACAAUUAGCAAUGUUAGUCCUCAUACACAGUGCAAAGGAACAUGUUUCUCUGUUUGUCAUCACUGUGGUCUGUGAUAACCACCAUAUGAAGUUUAUGGAACGAGCAAUUAAGAUGCUAAUCUUAAUAGGUUUCCAAUAUUGGUAGAUGGUAUUGGACCUGAGUAACAUAAAAUAAUUAACAAAAUUAAGCAAUGUUAGUCCUCUUUCACAGUGCAAAGGAACAUUUUUCUCUUUGCAUGUCCAGAACCUAAUAUUCUUUAACAAUAAAACUAUAUAGAAUUCCAUCACAUAAAGAUGAGAAAAAAUCUGUGAUAACCACACAAGUCAUGAAGUUUCUGAAAACGAACAAUCAAAUCCCUAAUCAUAAUUCUCUGUCUUUCUUUGUCUUCGCGUGUAGCAUUUUUGCUCGAGUAAAAUUAUUAGUCAUAAUUAAAACUUCACAUAUUCGAAGAUACAACAACAUUUCAUAAUCUCUGAAGUUGAAAUCGAGCACAAACACACUAAGUAGCAAUUAAAAAAGUAAAAAAGAAAAAGAAUGUCCAAAAAAAAAAGAAGUAAGAAAGAAAGUUCGAAACGACUCGAGCAAGAUUUCCAAAUGAAGCACAAGUAAAGCACACAUAUUUGAUGUUUCACUUUUAUCUCAUUUUUAAUUUUAUUUAUUUUUUAUAUAUAUAUUUUUUCUAAUUUCAUUAUGCUGUAAUAAUUUUUUCUAAUUUCUUAUAUAUUUUUCCUCCAAUUUCAACUUUGUAUGUUUUAAUUUAAUUUUAUGAUUAUUAACUAGAGUUUAUACCAUCUAAUUAGGGUAGAAAAUUAUUUUUUAUUAUUUAAUAUCACUUUUAUUAGCUAACAAUAAGUUGAUUAAUUAAAAGUUAUGGUAUAUAAUAUUUUAAAAUUAUUUUUUUGAAAUUAAGUAUAAUUCAUAGUAUUAUACUAAUAAAUUUUAUUUUUAUAACGAUUUGAUAUAACGCCACAUUAUGACUAGAUCCAUUUUUAUUUAAAAAAUAAAUUAUCUAAAUUGUAAAUACAACAAUAAAAUAACUAAAUCUUUUUUUAUUUAAAAAUAAUUUUUUUUAAAAUCCUAUUUAAUUAGUUUAUGGCUGCAGAGAUUUAUUGAACACAUAAAGCAUCUAUUAAUCUAUUGAGUGCAUAAUUUUUUUUAUGUAAAUAAAAAAAUUUAAAAACUAAGUCACAGUAGACUCGAAUCCAGGACCCCUGACAUUGGACAUUAAUCACCCUACUGUUAACCCAACACAAACAUUUGUGGGAACUUUUAGUAUAACUUUCAUUUGUUCUAGCAAGUGGAUAACUUUCAAAAAUUUCAAAUUAAAGAAAAACUCUACCAAUUCACGACCUAAAAGAUUAACGAAAAACUAUCACUAGGAUCAAUCGAAUGAGAUAUUCUAUGCUAUAAUUUAGUGUGUACCACCAUGCACUAGGACACCUAAAAGUUAACAAUAAAUCCGAGUUUAAAAUUAUUUAAGGCAACUAUCUUAGGGCGAUUUGCAAAAAUAAGGCCAAUAUUUUUCGGACUUGCAAAAAUAAGCCAAUUAUUUUANCCAACAAAUAGGCCCGUCAUCCGCUAUGUCUCUGGCGACACCCAGGGACGGAGUCAGGAAUUAAGUUCGGGGGGGCUGAACGCCCCCGAGAAUUUUUUUUUUGGGCAUUCUAUACAUUUAAGGUAUUUUUUUUAUUAAAAUACGAGCAUAAUACUAAUACUAAUAAUAACGAACAAUAUUUUCAUAGAUUAUAUAGUUUCAAUAAACUUUUUUUGGACAUUCCGUAUAUUUAAGACAUUUUUUAUUAAAAGGAAAGCAUAAUAAUAAUAAUAACAAACAACAUGUUCAUAGAUUAUAUAUUUUCUAUAUAUUACAAAUUAGUUUCAAAUACUCUUUUAUAGUUUUAAAUAACAUAAUUAUCCUUAAAUUAAGUAUAUAUGAGAGAAUAUAAUAACUAAAUACUCUUUUAUAAAACAAAAUUAUUUUAUAAUAGGUAUAAACAUAUAUCUAAAAAUAAAAAAAAUAAAAAAACUCAAAAUUUGGGAGGGGGCUCUAGCCCCCCUGGCUCCGUCCCUGGCGACACCGCUGCGUUCACCGUCGUUGUCUCCGACUGUGACUUCUCAUUUACCUUUACCCACUCCCUAAACAAUAGUAUAUUUUGUUGGGCAAUGGUAAGAUCUUGGAUUCAGGGUUGACAAAGACUUCUCAUUCAGAGAGAGAGUGAAAAUUGUGUCUGUGUGUGUUGGAAUUUAGGGCAAAAAUGCUUAUCUAGGGUUUUAGUAUUUUAGGAGAAAUGCUUAGUUGGAAUACUUAUCUUAUGUGGCGCUCAUGUCACUCUUUAAACUUAACACCUGGAUUGAAUUGCACCACAUAGGAUCUGACUUAUUUCGUUGAUGGCCAGAAAUCGAACGCAGGGGAAAUUUCCUAUCGAUUUUCCAAUUCAUGGAUUUUAAAUCAGAUUUUUUUUGUCAUGGGAAAAAAUCAAAAACUGGAAAAGUAUGUGGAUUUAGCGGAUUAAUCCUAUUAAUUAUGUGUACAAUAUACGCUCUUUCUGCUAGCUAAAACUGCACAUACCAACACCGACUAUUUUACUCUAUAUUAGCAUAUGUAUGUUAUUUGAACUAGACAUCUACAUUGGUAUCCAUAAGGAAUGAGACCACUAAACUAAUUUUCAUUUAAAUGAAAGAUGACCAAAGAGCUCAAGUUUCCAAAGUAUUUUGGGAUUGUUCCUUCCAAACUAUUAUUUGAGAGAACAAGAAUCUAAAGAGAUGUCAUAUUACAAUGGAGGAUGGAAGCUCACCGAUUAAUUUGUUGAAAGAGAGUUCUAGAAUUCUCAAUUGUAGAUGGUAUUUGGCAUGAAAGUUGGUGCGACACCUUUAGAUAUAUAUUAUUUGAAAGAGAGAAAAUGAUAUGAAUCAAAUAUCUUUAUAUCUAAAAAUGCACAAACACUACGCCAAAAACGCGCAUACAUAACGAAUUUUAUCCGUUAUCUAUACGGAAAAUCUUGCGUUAAGUAUAGUGGUGUUAUGUAUGCGGCGCGCAUAGAUAACAGAUAUUUAUGCGUUAUUUAUACUAUUAUACAUAACGGUUAUCCAUAAAUAAAUAACGCCUGAAAAUCCGUUAUCUAUAGGCCUUUUACAUAACGUUUCAGACCGUUAUGAAAGUUUAUAUUUCUCCGUUAUCUAUAUCGAUAUACAUAACCGUAGUUUUGAAAUAAAUAACAUUGGAAUUUCCGUUAUUAAAACAGCCAUAUAUAACGAUUUCGCAUAACGGUUCGGGCUUAGCGUUAUGUAUCCAUGUUCUUACAUAACAGUUUCCGUAACGGUAGAAAUAACCGUUAUAAUAAACGCACAUAUAUAACGCUUUUCAUAACGGAUCCGGGGUACCGUUAUCUUUGUGACCAAUAGUUAACGCUAAUACAUAACGCAGUACUUAAAACCGUUAUCUAUGCACAUACCUAACAGUACAUAGAUAACGGUUUUUUCGAAAACUGUUAUCUAUUAUAAAAAAAGCGCACAUAGAUAACGGUUUUUGAACNNNNNNNNNNNNNNNNNNNNNNNNNNNNNNNNNNNNNNNNNNNNNNNNNNNNNNNNNNNNNNNNNNNNNNNNNNNNNNNNNNNNNNNNNNNNNNNNNNNNNNNNNNNNNNNNNNNNNNNNNNNNNNNNNNNNNNNNNNNNNNNNNNNNNNNNNNNNNNNNNNNNNNNNNNNNNNNNNNNNNNNNNNNNNNNNNNNNNNNNNNNNNNNNNNNNNNNNNNNNNNNNNNNNNNNNNNNNNNNNNNNNNNNNNNNNNNNNNNNNNNNNNNNNNNNNNNNNNNNNNNNNNNNNNNNNNNNNNNNNNNNNNNNNNNNNNNNNNNNNNNNNNNNNNNNNNNNNNNNNNNNNNNNNNNNNNNNNNNNNNNNNNNNNNNNNNNNNNNNNNNNNNNNNNNNNNNNNNNNNNNNNNNNNNNNNNNNNNNNNNNNNNNNNNNNNNNNNNNNNNNNNNNNNNNNNNNNNNNNNNNNNNNNNNNNNNNNNNNNNNNNNNNNNNNNNNNNNNNNNNNNNNNNNNNNNNNNNNNNNNNNNNNNNNNNNNNNNNNNNNNNNNNNNNNNNNNNNNNNNNNNNNNNNNNNNNNNNNNNNNNNNNNNNNNNNNNNNNNNNNNNNNNNNNNNNNNNNNNNNNNNNNNNNNNNNNNNNNNNNNNNNNNNNNNNNNNNNNNNNNNNNNNNNNNNNNNNNNNNNNNNNNNNNNNNNNNNNNNNNNNNNNNNNNNNNNNNNNNNNNNNNNNNNNNNNNNNNNNNNNNNNNNNNNNNNNNNNNNNNNNNNNNNNNNNNNNNNNNNNNNNNNNNNNNNNNNNNNNNNNNNNNNNNNNNNNNNNNNNNNNNNNNNNNNNNNNNNNNNNNNNNNNNNNNNNNNNNNNNNNNNNNNNNNNNNNNNNNNNNNNNNNNNNNNNNNNNNNNNNNNNNNNNNNNNNNNNNNNNNNNNNNNNNNNNNNNNNNNNNNNNNNNNNNNNNNNNNNNNNNNNNNNNNNNNNNNNNNNNNNNNNNNNNNNNNNNNNNNNNNNNNNNNNNNNNNNNNNNNNNNNNNNNNNNNNNNNNNNNNNNNNNNNNNNNNNNNNNNNNNNNNNNNNNNNNNNNNNNNNNNNNNNNNNNNNNNNNNNNNNNNNNNNNNNNNNNNNNNNNNNNNNNNNNNNNNNNNNNNNNNNNNNNNNNNNNNNNNNNNNNNNNNNNNNNNNNNNNNNNNNNNNNNNNNNNNNNNNNNNNNNNNNNNNNNNNNNNNNNNNNNNNNNNNNNNNNNNNNNNNNNNNNNNNNNNNNNNNNNNNNNNNNNNNNNNNNNNNNNNNNNNNNNNNNNNNNNNNNNNNNNNNNNNNNNNNNNNNNNNNNNNNNNNNNNNNNNNNNNNNNNNNNNNNNNNNNNAAUAGAAUUCAAGGUUUAUUUAUAAAUUAUGGAGUAUUUUUUAAUUUUGUUUAUCUUUUAAUUAUUUUAUUUUAUUUCUUUCUAAAAUUGUAAAAUUCGGCUAAUUAUAAAAUAUGUAAUAUGUAUAUCAAAUUAAAGAUCACAAUAAGAACUUUAAUUUGACAUAUUUUAUGUAAAUAUUUGAUUUGAAUUGUAAAAGUUAUAUUUACUUAAAGAUUAAAUUUUUUUAAAAAUUCUAUCUCCUCUCUCAUUUUUUUAGGCCCGUAAUUUUGGUCAUUUUGCAAAUAUAGGACAAAAAUUUUUGGGCUUGCAAUUGCAGGACAAAUUGAUUUUUCGGGCUUAAUUUGUCCUAUUUAUACUGAAUUUUUGAAAAUUUGUCAUAUAAUUGCAAGCCAAANAAAAAUUGUUCUAUAUUUACAAAACAUCUAAAGUUACGGGCAUAAAAAAACUUUGGGCUCACUUCAAGACAACAUACCACUUAAAGAAGAUCAAAUGAUGUAUUUAUAGAAGAAAAUAAAAAGAUCAAAUGAUGUAAGUUGGGGGUUCGAAUCAUCCAGCAAGGAUGUGUGUGAGUUAUAACUCAAAGCAAAAUAAAACCUUUAUCAACAAAUCACAUCCUUACAGUUGUAUGCGUUAUUGUACAUACAAUUAACCUGAGAUAAAUUUUAAAUUUGACCCUCAAACGCAAAGUACAUAAUAAAUUAAAGAAUUAAAUAAUAUGGCAUUAAAUGCAUGAUUUGACCUCAUAAAUAUAGGAAUCAACUUACCAGUCAACUGAUUUUCACCAAGGUACAAGAAUUGAAGUUUCGUCAAGCUCCCUAUUUCUGUCGGCACAAAUCCAGUGAAAGUGUUUUUCACCAAAGAAAGAUACUUAAGCUGUGAACACUUCUCCAAACUCGAUGGUAUUUCCCCAUACAUCUCGUUGUAAGAGAUUCGAAGCCUCUUGAGUCUAUGCAGAUUGUGUUUGCACAUAUCAAGAGGUAAACUACUAGACAAACUAUUAUUCCUUACUUCCAAAACUUCUAGAAAUGACAUGUUGAAGAUAGAUGGGGGAAUGGGGCCAUGAAAGGAGUUUUCGUUCGCUUCUAAAGAAACGAGAGAAGAAAGAUUCCCGAUUUCUGGUGGAAGGGUUCCGACAAGACCCAUGUACGAUAUGUUCAACUGAGUAACCCUAUUGUAACGUGAAUCACAAGUAACUCCGAUCCAACUGCAAACACUGGCUUCGGUGCUCCAAUUUUGGGUCAAUAUAUUUUGAGGAUCUAAAGUGAUUUGGGAUUUUAAGGCGAGAAGGGAAGAACGAUCGGUGUUGAUAUCGGUUUUGGCUGAGCUAUAAUCCAUCAAAUAAUGGAUUGGUAAGAGUAGUGCAAGGAUGAGAAAAUGGGGAGAUUUUGGCAUUUUUGGCUUGAUUUUGACAGUAGUAGUUUUUUAGAAUAUUGAACUAUGAAAUCCAUAUACAUGUAUAUAUAGAGUGUGUGUGGAUAUGAUGGGCAAAUGGGAAGGAUUAAUGAUGAAAGUAGGAAAUGCAGAGUUUCCUUUUAUUCAAAGCUAAAAUAAUAUUUUCCCAUUGGAAAGACGAAGACGGAGAAAAUAAUUAAUUGGAGUGUGAAUGAGGAAAAGACGAAGAAAAUAAUUGUGGAACUAUAAAGAGUGAUUUUUGGAGGCAAAAGCAACUAAGACUAUUUAUAUGGAAAGCUACUUUCUGUUCGAUUUGGGAGAUUGAGUCUAACCCAAAUCUUAAAAAAUGACCCUAAAAUUCAUAUUAAAAUAGCAUUAUAAGUUUUGGCCGUGAUCAGAGGGCUACGUCAGUUGAAUAAACAACAAAACCUGUUUGUUUAUUUGAAGUGGUAGAAUAACAUGCAAAAGUAGAAGAUAUUCUCUAUUUUUAUAAUAGAUUUGGGAGACUUUAAAUCCCCCUUUUUGUGAUCUUUGAAUAAGAUAUAAUAAAGGGUAAUUCACACUUCGCAAUCUAAAACCAAGCUCCACGCAAUUGCCCCCUGAAAAUAGAGCAAUUGUUGCAAUUUGAAUUCGAGUCAUUUUGAGUAAUAAUAAUAAUAAUAAUAAUAAUAAUAAUAAUAAUAAUAAGCUCUUGGUAACGAGGAAGUGUAUUCAAAUUCAAAUAAUUUUAUCAAAAACACCAGUAAAUUCUUACAUAAAUUAAUUUGUAAGAAUUUUUCAUACGGGUUGAACUCUAAAAUUUCUACGUGCAUCUUAUGUUAAUUCGGUUCUCAACCUUACUUUGUGUGUCGUAAAAGUAUUAUUGAAAAUACAUGUAUAUUGUGGGAUCAAUUCAGGAAGAUCAUGAUAAACCAUUCCUUGUGCUUGUAAAGAAUAAACUCUUCGUCUUACAGAUGCGAGUUCUUUAUCCAAUUUUAUACUGAACGAAGUAAAUGACAAUAUUCUAUUAUAAGCACGAAUAUCCCUUCUUAAACUAAAAGCUUCUUCUGAUUGAGAUGUAAAUAAUUCAUCUAAAUGUAUCAAUCAAUAAAACAAUUAGGUCACAUAUUUUAGACUAGUGUUUCAUUAUACUCACUGAAUUAAUAAAUUUGCUAUGCUAUCGAAAUAAAACAUAAUUAAAUUGAACAAAGAAAGCAUAACUAACAAUCUACUAAAUUGAAAUGAGUUUUGGGCUUAGGGAUAUUUAAUAUGGGCUUCUAUAAUUGGGCUGAACACUUUCUUUUCUUGGACUUUAAAUAGUGAACUUGAUUUUUGGCAUAAAUGGGCUCAAAUAUACUUUUAUAUAUUUAAGUAUUGAAACAUGCUUUAUUAGUUAAAAAUUUUGAGCUAAGUUCCACAAGAAGAAAGUAUACAUAUUUUAGUAUUUUAUUUAUUUAUUAGGCUCAUGACUUUGGGUUAGUGCUAUAGAACAAUUCUUAAAAUUAUUUAAAUUAUCUUAAAAAAAAGCUUGAUUACAUCUAUUAUCUGAAUUUAUCUGACUAGGUACGGCGUGACUAGAACGUAACUGUUGAUGUGAAUUACUCAAGUUAUUAAUCAAGUACAAAAUUUUCAGUGUGAGAUUUUAUUUUAAUACAUGUUGUGGUGCUUGUGUCUUGAAAAUAACCUUUUAUUUGGCAUCAAAGAAUUUUGCACCUCGGUGAGAUUGAACUGUGCAUCCUCUGCACGUUCUCUCCUUUUUUAUGGUCCAUACUACCAAUAUCCAAUCCCAGUAGGGGAUGAUUUCAAGUUGCUUGGAAAACUAGAUGUUCUUAAUAUGCGUUUGUACACUUUCCCUACAGAGAUUCUGACACUAGUCCUACUAAAGUACCUUGCUCUAACUUGCAACGGAGAACUCCCAACAACUAUAUCCAAACUUUUCAACCUUCGUGUCUUGAUUGUCCAUCCGCAUAGCAACAUUAGAAUUUGUAGAGCUCCAUCGUAUGUACCAAUACAAAUAUGGGAUAUGAAAGAGUUAGAGCAUAUUGAGAUAUUGGGGAAGAGCCUUGUAGCUCCAUCUCAUUCUGCUUCUUUGGAAAUUCUCUCAACACUUGUAGGUGUGAAUGCCAACACUUGCACUAUCCUGGAGCUUUCCAGAAAAGUUCCUUGCAUAAGGAAAUUUGGAGUUCAAAUCGAGCUAACCCCUUACGACGAGCAUGAUGACCUUAUCAAUUGCUUUGGUUGUGUUUCAACACUUGAAAGUUUGAAGACACUGAAAUGUAGCAUCAUAAAUCCUGUGGUUAAGUACGAUUAUGCGUUUCCUAGUUCAUCGAUGAUGUUUCCAAGUGGAUUGAGAAAGUUACACUUGAGUGGCAUGGGUUUUCCUUGGGAAUACAUGGAUGUAAUUGGCUCUUUGCCAUAUCUUAAAGUGCUCAAAUUGCGAGCCUACGCCUUUCUGGGUUCAAAGUGGGAAGCGCGAGAUAGAAGUUUUCAGAAACUUGAGUUUCUUCUAAUUGAAGACAGUGAUUUGGUGCAAUGGAAACCAAGUUCUGGAAGCUUCCCUGAGCUUAGACACCUAAGCAUGAAACAUUGCUACAAACUAGAAGAGAUCCACUGGCUGUCUCAUUGUACAUGCGGAGGAAAUAUUGAGUUAGUGAAUUGCAAUCCUAAAGCUUUGAAUUGUGCUGAGCUAUUACAACCGUGUCCAAUGACUUGGGUUGAUGUUACCGCCACUUAUUCUUUUGACGAGAAACCCAUUACUAUCAUGUUUACGAGGUUAGUCUCGCAACUGCCCAUCAAUUCAUGUCCUACUCUUAAUAUAUAUUUCACGUUAAUAUUGCGUGAUCAUCCUGUGAAUAUUUAUAUAGUCUCACACACUAUACUAUCUAUAAAUUUUCAGGUAUGGGUCUAAAGAAGAGACAUGGAAAGGUGAGACACCAUAUUAAGAAUUGUGUACUUAUUUUGGUAUUGUGUUGAGGAUCAUAAGCUCUGACUGAAUUAUGUAUGGAAUGAAAACUGUAGUAGCUUUGUUUUGGUAUCACAUGUCGUCAUUAGGUUUAAUUAACUACUCCCUCCGUCCCAUGAAGCAAGACCAAGUUCUUUUCAGCACGGGAAUUAAGAAAUUGAUAUUUUGUGUGUUAAGCGUGGUUGGUGAAAAAGUGAAUAAAUAGUAAAUUUUUUGCUACUUUUAGAAACUGGUCUUGCUUCGUGGGACAGACCAAAAAGGAAACUUAGUCUUGCUUCAUGGGACGGAGGGAGUAUCAAUUAUGAUAAUAAUCAAAUGAGUGGAUAUUUUUGAAUCACAUUCUGUUUCUGGUUCUGUGAAUUUUGUCCAUCACUUUUUUUUGAGCAAUUGAAUUUGUGCCCAUCUUAGUAUGAGAAUUUCAUGAUACACCUAAAGAAUUUCAUGUGUUUGUUUUGGAUGAUAGUUUAGAUAUAAAAAGAAUUGAGUAAUUUUUCAGCUCGUGAUGCAGAUGUUGAUGAAGAUUCCUUCCGAGUUAGAGUUGUUCUGAGCUUGGGUCUGUGCUUAUACGAGCUCGACUCGUUUAUCGUACUUUUGCUGUUGGUUUCAUGGGGUUUACGGCACUAAGGUGGAUUCGAACCCAAGAUCUUUGGGUUUAGGCAUUAAUCAUUCUGCUGUUUGACCUACACACAUAACUUACCUCUUUUAGUUUGUGUUUGCUGGUGUUUAUGCAGCUUUGAUGAGUAUCUUAUUUUGUCUACAUAGAUGAUAAAGGAUUACUUAGCCUUGUCCAUGAGGACAUUUAUAAUUCUUUUGUGCGCCUUUCUUAGGCGGUCUCCGCUUGGGCAGCUUCUGCCGGCGUUUAGCCGGCGGCCAUCCCGUCAUUUGGGAUCUUUGCUCCCGUUCUUAUUUUUGGGAGCGAUUGGUGGUUGUUGCUGGAGCUUUUCCAGGGGCUUUUUACAACUUCUGGGUGCGCUCGGGGUUGGGCUCCGGAAAUGUUCUCUAUUGGUUGCUCCGCGGCGGAGAAGGCCCCUCGGCCUGUCUUCUGUCAGUGUCGAGUUGGUCCCUUUCUUUGGUGCUUCUUGUUUCUUGGAUUGUUUUUUGAGCCGAGGUUUCUUGGGGGCGAUGGUUAGGCCGAAGCCUCCGAAGAAUCCUCAACUUCGCUCUUUUUUGCUUGUCUUUUCGCGUUGUUCCUACGGGUACUCUCUUUUCCUACUUAGGGUUUCUCCCCCUUGAGUUUUCCCUUAGAAGGUUUUGACGAGGCCCAGCCCCUUUAUUUGUGUAUGUGCUCUCAAAGGAUUUUCGUUUCUUCUUUUGGCAAUAAAAUUCUAAUUCAGCAGGUAAAGGAAUAGAUUCUUUAUCAUCAAUAAAAAAUUACACAAACAAAGUAAAAAAUGUGUUUUAUCUAGAGAAUGUGAAAAAAUAAUAAUAAAUUAAUUUUCAGAAAAGACGUGUGAAUGUGUAUGUCUAGAAAACGGUGCUCAAAACUAUUUUGGUAUUUCUAUUAGAUAAAAGUUUGGAAUACCAAAAUGAUCAGAAAACACAAUUUAUAAUUGAAAAAACAUAAUUUGAUUUAUUUGGAAAAUUUUUAACAAUAUUAAGCGGCUAAUUAAAUCUAUUUACAAACUAUUUUAUUUUUAUACAUAUUAAGAUUUCAUGAUAAGCCUAAAUAAUUCACUUAUGAAGCACUCAAUACGAAGGUAUUAAUUAAUUUGUAUUGAUUGAAAUUAGAUUAUUAUUUUUAUAUAAAAAGAAAAAGGAAAAGUUUAAAACACUUACAAUCACAAGAAGCAAGCAAACUUGAAGCUGAGCCUUUAUUUUAAACCUUUCUGAUGUAAAAGGUAAAACAAAAAACAUAUGUAAAAAGAAAAGAAUAUACGUCUACAGAGCACAUAAAAGAUAGGGGGAGUGAUUUUUGGACACCAGGUAUCUUAGACACCUUUAUAAAAAAUCGGUUUUUUGUUAAUGUUUAAUUUGACUGAUUUUUUGUUAUUUAGUGAUUUGUCUAAAAUAUCAUUUUCAAAAAUAUAUUCAAAACAAAAAAUCAGUCAAGUUAAACAUCAAGUAAAAACCAAUUUUUUAUGAAAGUGUUUAAGACACCUCGUGUCCANAGCUUUGUUUUGGUAUCACAUGUCGUCAUUAGGUUUAAUUAACUACUCCCUCCGUCCCAUGAAGCAAGACCAAGUUCUUUUCCGCACGAGAAUUAAGAAAUUGAUAUUUUGUGUGUUAAGCGUGGUUGGUAAAAAAGUGAAUAAAGAGUAAAUUUUUUGCUACUUUUAGAAACUGGUCUUGCUUCGUGGGACAGACCAAAAGGAAACUUAGUCUUGCUUCGUGGGACAGACCAAAAAGAAAACUUAGUCUUGCUUCAUGGGACGGAGGGAGUAUCAAUUAUGAUAAUAAUCAAAUGAGUGGAUAUUUUUGAAUCACAUUCUGUUUCUGGUUCUGUGAAUUUUGUCCAUCACUUUUUUUUUAGCAAUUGAAUUUGUGCCCAUCUUAGUAUGAGAAUUUCACGAUACACCUAAAGAAUUUCAUGUGUUUGUUUUGGAUGAUAGUUUAGAUAUAAAAAGAAUUGAGUAAUUUUUCAGCUCGUGAUGCAGAUGUCGAUGAAGAUUCCUUCCGAGUUAGAGUUGUUCUGAGCUUGGGUCUGUGCUUAUACGAGCUCGACUCGUUUAUCGUACUUUUGCUGUUCGUUUCAUGGGGUUUACGGCACUAAGGUGGAUUCGAACCCAAGAUCUUUGGGUUUAGGCAUUAAUCAUUCUACUGUUUGACCUACACACAUAACUUACCUCUUUUAGUUUGUGUUUGCUGGUGUUUAUGCAGCUUUGAUGAGUAUCUUAUUUUGUCUACAUAAAUGAUAAAGGAUUACUUAGCCUCGUCUAUGAUCGAAGCUAAGUAAUCCAUGAGGACAUUUAUAAUUCUUUUGUGCGCGUUUCUUAGGCGGUCUCCGCUUGGGCAGCUUCUGCCGGCGUUCAGCCGGGUGGCCAUCCCGUCAUUUGGGGUCUUUGCUCCCGUUCUUAUUUUUGGGAGCGAUUGGUGGUUGUUGCUGGAGCUUUUCCAGGGGCUUUUUACAACUUCUGGGUGCGCUCGGGGUUGGGCUCCGGAAAUGUUCUCUAUUGGUUGCUCCGCGGCGGAGAAGGCCCCUCGGCCUGUCUUCUGUCGGUGUCGAGUUGGUCCCUUUCUUUGGUGCUUCUUGUUUCUUGGAUUGUUUUUUGAGCCGAGGUUUCUUGGGGGCGAUGGUUAGGCCGGAGCCUCCGAAGAAUCCUCAACUUCGCUCUUUUUUGCUUGUCUUUUCGCGUUGUUCCUACGGGUACUCUCUUUUCCUACUUAGGGUUUCUCCCCCUUGAGUUUUCCCUUAGAAGGUUUUAACGAGGCCCGGCCCCUUUAUUUGUGUAUGUGCUCUCAAAGGAUUUUCGUUUCUUCUUUUGGCAAUAAAAUUCUAAUUCAGCAGGUAAAGGAAUAGAUUCUUUAUCAUCAAUAAAAAAUUACAUAAACAAAGUAAAAAAUGUGUUUUAUCUAGAGAAUGUGAAAAAAUAAUAAUAAAUUAAUUUUCAGAAAAGACGUGUGAAUGUGUAUGUCUAGAAAACGGUGCUCAAAACUAUUUUGGUAUUUCUACUAUAUAUAAGUGUUGGUUAUUACUUAUUUGAUUGGAUAAUAUAAUUUAUAAUUUUAACUUUAUAAUUUGAUUUAUUUGUAAAAUUUAAUUAACAAUAUUAAUCUUCUAAUUAAAUCUAUUUACAAACUAUUUUAUUUUUAUACAUAUUAAGAUUUCAUGAUAAGCCUAAAUAAUUCAUUUAUGAAGCACUCAAUACGAAGGUAUUAAUCUAGUUUAAUUUGUAUUGAUUGAAAUUAGAUUAUUAUUUUUAUAUAAAAAGAUAAAGGUUUAAAACACUUACAAUCACAAGAAGCAAGCAAACUUGAAGCUGAGCCUUAUUUUAAACCUUUCUGAUGUAAAGGUAAAACAAAAAAACAUAUGUAAAAGAAAAAGAAUAUACGUCUACAGAGCACAUAAAAGAUAGGGGGAGUGAUUUUUGGACACCAGGUGUCUAAGACAUCUUCAUAAAAAAUCGGUUUUUACUUGAUGUUUAAUUUGACUGAUUUUUUGUUAUUUAGUGAUUUGUCUUGAAUAUAUUUUUGAAAAUAAUAUUUUAGACAAAUCACUAAAUAGCAAAAAAAUCGAAUCAAAUUAAAAAUUAAGAAAAAAACUGAUUUUUUUAUGAAGGUGUUUUAAGACACCUCGUGCCCAAAAAAUCUUUUUCCAAAAGAUGAAUAAAAACACGUCGGAGUACAGAAAAUAAGAGAGAGAGAGGAAAAGCAAGGCCCACAAAGGUAGCCCAUCAGUGAGGGCCCAGCAACGUAGUCCAAGAAGAAUGCCCAACAUGUACUUGUCUAUUGAUUUUGGAAAGAAGAAUUUUAGGGCCAAAGCUACAUAAACGGUCUUUCUAGCUCUAGGUAUAUAAUUAAAAUUCACUAUUUAUUUCAAAAAUAUACUCCUUUCGUUCCAUAAUAAGUGUCUACUUUUCCUUUUCAAAUUGUCUUAUAACAAGUGCAUUUUUACCUUUUAAUCUUCUCCACCUAAAUUUUAUUCAUCUCACAAAAUAAAAGUGGACUCCACUACUUUUUAUCUUUUACUUGUUUAAUCAUAACCACCUAAAUUCUUGUGACCAAAAAAAAAGUAUUUAUUACUUUUAUUCUUAAGAAUUUAUACUUUUAGUUAUUUAAUCAAAUAAUUAUUAUUGUAUGAAAAAGUAAUUAUUGAUAUGUAUAAAAGUACUGUUAUUUUUACUCGUUAUAUAACUUGUAAUUUUGUAUAUUUGGUCAAGUAAUCAUUGUCUUAAGAAAAAAGUAACGAUUGAUGUGAAGAAAAGUAAUGUUUCAAAAAUGUUACAUUUCUUUAUAUAUGUCAAUAAUUAUUUUUCGUAUAAUAAUAAUUAUUUUGAAUAACGUAUAAAUAAAUACUCGAAUAAAAAAAAUCAAAUAAUUAUUCAAGUAAUCAUUGGAUUAGGAUGCUUAUAAGACUUUGGAUUCUGUGAAAAAAAUGACAAGUUAAAAACCCUGAACUCAUUCAGAGGCCAGAGCAGAUGGAUGAUAUUGUUGAAUGUUGAAGUUAGAAGAUUCGUCAUAACUCCAUCAAAAGCCUACUGUCUUCCACAUGAGGUUUGGGGUUGUUCGUGUGAAAGAUGAUGGGUAAUGUGAGUGAGUUUAAUGUAUUAGGCUUUUUUUUUUUGCUUGGGCUGCAAUCAUUGUAGCAGCACCACUGCAAGGGUAGCUGAGAAGAGGUGUGGAAGUGGUGUUGGUGGAGUCUUCACCGUACAAAGAAGGUGGUCGGCGACAAGCGGACGGAGGCUGUGCAGGCAGCAGCGCCGCUCAGUGGCGGCGCGAAAAAACCCUAGGCGGUGAUUGCUUUGGCUUCAUCCGGUGUGUUAAGGUGAAGGGCUUCCCCAAAACAGUGUUUCUGGCGAGUUUUCGGUUAAAAUUAACGUGUUAAAAUUAAAAAAGAAAAAGAUAUUUAAAAUAGUUAACGGUGUUAAUUAAGUCGUCGUUAUGGCGGAGGACCUGAUUAUUCGAAAUUAAGGACUUCAGGGGUUUAGUUGGCCCAACUUCGACUAUAGGGAGCUAAAUGUGAUAAGGGUCACAAUGAUAGGGGCUUAUUUGAAACUUAACCCAUAAAGAUAUUCUAGUUAAAAUCGACAAAAUAAAACUGCAUUAUAACAUGCAUGUUCAAUUUAUGGUAUUCUAUUUGGAGUAUUUACAAAUUACACCAACAGAAAAUCUCCUGGACAUCAGUGUGUACGGUCCAUCUGGGAUAUUAGUAUCAAUAGUAUUAUUUAUAUAACAUGAUAGAGUCAUUUAUAAAACAAAAUAGUGUUAGUGUUUGUGUCAUUUACGCCCAGAUGUUCGGUACACCGAGGUAUACAGUAGACCACCUCUUACAACAAUAUAUGAAUUCAUCCUUACUCUUUUUUUUUCUAAGAAUAAUUCAUCCUUGUCCUAUACAUAUUCCAAUUUCAUAUUUCUAUUCGUGUUAAUAGGCCCUCUCGUGCAAUGUACGUGCCACAAUAUAUUUAUUUAUUUUUAAAUUAUAUAUUAUAUAAAAAUAUCAAAUGUCAUAACUUAUGAGUUAGAUUAAUUGGUACAAAAAAUUAUGUUAAUAUAAAUAUUAGUUUGACUUAAAAUAGUGUAUAAUAACAGUACUAUCAAUUUAAUGAUGAUGAUAAUAAUAAUAAUAAUAAUAAUAAUAAUAAUAAUAAUAAUAAUAAUAAUAAUAAUAAUAAUAAAAUUUAUUAGAUUAUAAAGCAAAUAAUUUAAACCAAUCUCAUUUGAGCAAAUAACAUUAAACGAUCAAUAUAAUAAAACAAAUAGCCAUCAUUUAAUAUAACAAAUUGGAUACUUAAAAGUCCAAACUGUAUUAUUAUUAAAAUUUCAUAUUUAAAUAGCCCAAAACUAAUUAAAAAUUGGAAAAAAUAUGAAUAAUAUAAAAGGAAAAAUUUAACAACAAACAUGUUUAUAGACAUAGAUAAUUUGUACGUAUAAUUAUAUAAAUCUAUAUAAUAUUUUAAAUUCUAAUUUUAAGAUACAUAUAACUAAUUUUUUAUCUACAAAUUCAUAUUAAAAUUAAUAUAUAUUUUCGUAUACUUAAAAGCACCGAUCUUGAAUCUUGACAGCAUUAGAGUCUCAGACAAUUAAAAAAUUAAUAUUUUCGCAGCCAGCACAAUUCCUAAUCGUUAAUUAGCCUCAAUAAUUGAGAAGGUAUUGUUUUUUCAAUAAUUGUCCCUUUCCUUGAAAUAAAAAAUAUUAUUUCCGCAGCCUGCAUAAAUCGACUUUCAAUAACAAUGCUAAUCGUUAAUUAGCCGUAAUAAUUGAGCAGAUAUAUUCUUUUUAAAAUUUUCACCAUUACCAACUCUUCCGACUUCAUUCCUCCCGCCGCCGCCGCCGCCGCCAGAGAGGAGGAAUGACGGCUUAUGGUGCAGUGAAUUCUCUGAGGAAUACAAUUGAUUAUAUUCUCCAUUCUUCUCAUUUUAGCCUCGUUGAUCCCUCUCCAAAUAUCAUACAACUCGCCUACGAGGAGUUGAAUCCAUUGCAAGAAAUUCUUGAAAGAUUGGACAGCACGAGCACAAGCAGGAGCAGGAAGAAGGUGAAUGCUUUGGAUGAAAGAAUCAAAGAGAUGAUUUGGGAAUUCGAGGAUAUAUUGGAAUCACUUGUCUACCAACAGAUUCUUUCACAGUUUCCUGCAGACCAAGUAGAUGAAGAUGAUGUUGGCGGUGAGAAAAUCAGAUUCACCAUUGAUCUGCAAUUCCUACAACAUCAUAUUCCUUCCUUCAUCGAGAGGCUCGAGGAAAUGGAGGAGGAAUACAUUUAUGAAGUAGACAAUAUGCCUGAAGAUGAAGAUGACGACGAGGUCGAAUCUAUUUCCUCAAGAAGUGGGACCAAGUCCAAGAUGAUUGGAUUAUCGGAUCAAUUCCAACAUCUAAAAUGGAGUCUUACGGCAACUUCCAAGCAAUGUUUCUUCGCCGCACUUGUUGGAACUGCAGGCGUUGGGAAGACAGCUCUGGCUGAGGCAGUUUUUGAAGAUCCUGAAAUCAUUAGCCAUUUUGAGCAUCGCAUAUGGGUUACUGUGGGCAGAAAAUCUCAAUUCGAUGAUGUUUCACGAGACAUUCUAGCUCAAAUGUAUGGAAUCACACAAGGAGAUGAUGAAUUAGGUGCCUACUUGAAAGAAAGAUCGGAGGGAAUGAAAUGUCUCAUUGUGCUCGAUGAUGUGUGGGAGGAACAGAUAUUGGAUUCCUUGAAACGAUGCUUUAGGAACAUUGAUAAUGGAUCAUUUCAUAUCUUGGUUACUACUCGAGAUCGAAACGUAAUUCUUGCAAUGAUUAAUCCUUUUUCUAUAAUGUUAGUGCGGUUUUUGAAGGAGGACGAAGGUAAGGAGCUGCUAUGCGAGAAGGUGUUUGGUGAGAAGAGUUGCCCUUUUCAACUUGAUAAAGCCGCUAACAAAAUUGUCAAGAACUGUGAAGGUCUUCCUCUCAUGAUAGUCACAGUGGCUAGCAUCCUAUCAAAAGCCCAUAACAUAGAUCCAAAAUAUUGGGAGGACGUAGCAGAAUUGCGAAAUUCAGUCUUCACCGAUGCAUAUAAUGAGAUAUCGAAGGUACUUUUUCCAAGCUACGACUACUUACUUCAAUAUCUCAAAAUGCCUUUUCUGUAUAUGGGAGUCUUUCCUCCGGAUUAUGACAUCCCCUUUUCUAAGUUCAUGAAUAUGUUGGAUACUGAGGGCUGGUUUCAUAGCAUUGAGACAGAACAAUCUUUGGAGGAAUCUAUCUCGGAAUAUUUGGAGGAGCUUUGUAAUCUUAGGAAUCUUGCUUUAUCCAACUCAAGGACUUGGAAUAUUAGUUAUGCCAUUGCGUUUAAAACCUGUCGCCUUCAUUCUUCAUGGUGUCACGUGUGUAGAGGAGAAGCUCGGAAGAACAAGUUUUAUCAUGUUAUCAAAAAGCUUGUUCAAGUCUUAGAAGAUGGUGUAAAAGGUCAGCGUUGCUUGUGUCUUGAAAAUAACCUUUAUUUAGCAUCAAAGACUUUUGCAACUCGGUGAGAUUGAACUGUGCAUCCUCUGCACGUUCUCUCCUUUUUUUUGGUCCAUACCACCAAUAUCCAAUCCCAAUAGGUGACGAUUUCAAGUUGCUUGGGAAACUAGAUGCUCUUAAUCUACGUUUGUACACUUUCCCAACAGAAAUUCUCACACUAGUCCUACUAAAGUACCUUGCUCUAACUUGCAACGGAGAACUCCCUACAACCAUAUCCAAACUUUUCAAUCUUCGAGUCUUGAUUAUUCAUCCACAUAACAACAUUAGCAUUUGUGGUUCUCCAUCAUAUGUACCCGUACAAAUAUGGGAUAUGCGAGAGUUAGAGCAUAUUGAGAUAUUGGGGAAGAGUCUUGUAGCUCCAUGUCAUUCUGUUUCUUUGGAAAAACUCUCAACACUUGUAGGUGUAAAUGCCGACAUUUGUAAUAUCUUGGAGCUCUCCAAAAAAGUUCCUUUUGUAAGGAAAUUAGGAGUUCAGAUCAAGCUAACGCCUUAUGAUGAUCAUAUCAACCUUUUAAGUUGCUUUGGUUGUGUUUCAACACUUAAAAGUUUGGAGAUACUGAAAUAUAGUAUCAUAAAUCCUGUGGUUAACUACGAUUAUGUGUUUCGUAGUUCAUUGAUGAUGUUGCCACAUGCAUUGCAAAAGUUACAUUUGAGUGGCAUGGGUCUUUCUUGGAAAUACAUGAGUGUGAUUGGCUCUUUGCCAAAUCUUGAAGUGCUCAAAUUGCGAGCCUAUGCCUUUCGGGGUUCAAAGUGGGAAGAAGGAAGUUUUUUAAGACUUUUGUUUCUUUUUAUUGAAGACAGUGAUUUGGUGCAAUGGAAACCAAGAUCUAGAAGCUUCCCUUAUCUUGUCCGCCUAAGCAUGAAACAUUGCUACAAACUAGAAGAGAUCCACUGGUCGUCUCGUUCGGGGAGGGGAACGAUUGAAUUAGUGAAUUGCAAUCCAAUAGCUUUGACUUGUGUCAGGCAGUUACAACCGACUCAACCUACUCUUUUUGAUGUUACUGCCUCUUCUUCUUUUGACGAGAAACCCACUACUAUCAAGUUUACGAGGUUAGUCUUGCAAUUACUCAUCAAUUCAUGUCCUACUUUAACAUAUAUUUCAAAUUAGCUAUGAGAUUUCAUUUUAAAUCACACUAGCUCAUAAUAGACUUAGGGAGCGAUUACUUUGAAAUGGGGCCCAUAAUAGAUAAAAAUAAUAAGGUUAAUCCCUUGUUUACUUUUAUGAAUUGAAAUUUUGGGAUAUUCUAAGGCCCUUGAUUAAUUUUAUCAUUUAAACUAGUUUUGCAUAUUCUUAUCCCAUUGAAAGUGUGGGAUUAGAUAAAUCUCACUUUUGACGAUACAAAUACUCAAUCAUGCAAAUAAACACUCCCCUUAAUUCAAAUUUGAUGCUAUAAAAUAUUUUACGUUGUAGAUGAGAAUUUCACAAGAAAUAAAAACGAGGGAUGUGUUGCUCCAAUGUGUGUGGGUGUGUGUAGGUUCAUUGUGGGUUGCUACAACAACUUCCACAUAUAUCACAAGAGUGCAUGAUUAUUCUUUGAAUAUUUAUGUGCUAUUUUGCUAUUAAAUUUCAGGUAUUGGUCUGGGUUUGAAUAAAAGGGUCAGAAAGGUGUGACGCCCUCUAUUUUGCUAUAUUAACUUUCAGGUAUUGCUAUUCUCCAUCCACGUGUUUAUAAUUACUUUUAGCAAUUUUAUUAGGGAAAUGCUCAAUUCACAUAAUAUGUGCGCACAUAAUUGGAUAUUUUUGUCAUUCUAUAAAUUUCCAUAAAUUAUGGAAUUAAUUUACGUAAUCAUCCUUUGAGAUAAUUAAGGAAUGUACAAUUCAAAUUUCAAUCUUAUAUCUUUCCUUAAUAACAAAUUAUUUAUUUCCUUAAAUUAAAUUAUGAAUCAAUUUUCAUUAUACAGCUUUAUUUAUCAAUGAUUUACAUCCCAUAAAUUAGCUCAAACUCAACUAGAAGAAUCAAGUAAUUAAAAUUGCAGUCAAAUUAUUGUUUCAUAUUCUUAUUUAAUUAGUUAGUUAUUUUUCUUCAAUAACGUUACAUGACUAAUUAAUGAUUUAAUAUGUAUUGAUGAAAAAAUUGAUGAACUCAUCAACUUAGCAUUCUAAAUUCAUAUAUUAUAUAGAUUUAUUUACAAAUUUAUUAUUAUAAUUAUUAUUUUGGAAUAUAAGAAUAAUUAUGUUGAAUGUUAUUUUUAGAUUUAUUAUAUGUAUAAUAUAUUAAAUUACAUAAUUAACUUUAUAUUAAGUAUAUAUGACGGAUACAGUAGGCAAAUCAAAAUUUUAUAAAAUAAGGCUCUUUUAUAAUAGGUAUAGUUUGUGAGGAUCUAAAUUAAGUGAUGAGGGAUUUGAAGGCAAGAAGUGAAUAUUCAUCACUUUUGAUUUGAUGAGGCUAAGACAAGAAAACAAUAUGAGUAGGAAAAAUGGGGAAACUCUCCCCAUACUGAAAAUGCAGAGUGCUAAUUGUAAUUUUGUGCACAAACAAGAAGCCUAGCUGAUGCCAUUUAUAUUGCAAGCUAAAAUAAAUUUUGACUAUUAGUAAUUCUCUAAGAAAAAGAGUAUGACAUUAAAAAACUAUUAACUUAAUAUAUUAACUCCGUCUUUAAUAGGUCACAAGGUUUGAAUACGAAUAUGGACAUUAGAUGCCACAUGAUAUCGCAACCCUUCUGUUUAAGAUGUGUUUUCGUUUUGAGUAAUUAUUAUUGUAUUACUAUUUGAUUACUUAAUUAAACAAGAGACUCCUGCAAUAUGCUCUCGACAUAAGAAGUAAGAUAUUUUGUAAUUGAUUAAAUUAAUUAAAAAAACAAGAGCCAAAAGAAAAAAUGUAUAGAACAUUAUUUAUAAAUUAAGCAACAAAUACAAACCAACGAUUUAUAGGCUUAACAGAAUCCGAUAAAUGUUUUGAGGUAAUGUUUUGAGGCUUAACAGAAUAUGUUCCAACUAGAUUCACGUGUAGUAUUUUUGCUUGAAUAAAUCCAAAACAGUUUUAAAGCUACCUAUUCACGUGAUGACAUUAAUCUAAAAAUUUAAAACUACCUAAAAAAUCACAAAACUGUUUUAAUAUAUCUAAAAAAAAUUACCUAAACGAGAUGAAAUUAAAACAUAACAUAUUCGAACUGUUGUGACAAAAUAGGAUUUAAAGAGCACAAUCAAACAGAAAACGUAAAGAAGACACAUAUUUACGUGGUUCACCAAUAUGGCUACAUCCACGGACACAGAGGAUGACAGAUUUUAUUAUGCGCCUAGGGUUACAAAUUAUAGAUCUCAAGUAUUUAUAGUAUUUAUAUAUCUCAGCGAGAGACUCGUAGUUCGAAGCGGGAGAUUCAAGACAUAACAACACGAACAAACAACAAUAUUUCUUAAACUCUAAAGUUGAAAUCGAGCACAAACACACUAAAGUAGCCAUUAAAAAUGAGAUAAUUAAGAAAAAGAAAACACAAUUCGAGCACAAUCCUUCAAUUAAGUUCUCCUGCGUGUUGGUGUAGGUGUAGCUCUGCUGCGUCUCUUCUUCUUCUUCUUAUUAUUAUAUCCAAUGCCGAAAAAGAAUUCCACUAACCAUCUUGGCCUUCCAUUUCUAAUAAUGAUGUAACCAAUUCCAAUCCCAACUAUGAAUCCACUUCCAUAUCUGAUGAAGAUAGAAUUGUAUAAUAUAUUAUAUCUUUAAUUAUUGAUUUGUCUUGUUGGUCAAGUUAGUUUGUUUCCUUUUAGAUGUCUAGGGUUUUAUUAUAAAUAGGAGUUUUAUUUAU
Molecule: long non-coding RNA, 31091 nt
Filed under: Salvia miltiorrhiza (redroot sage)
Lineage: Eukaryota; Viridiplantae; Streptophyta; Magnoliopsida; Lamiales; Lamiaceae
Description: long non-coding RNA (SMIL_LNC007309)
Source: RNAcentral